Lepisosteus oculatus (spotted gar) is the source of this 242-nucleotide non-coding RNA. NCBI's taxonomy places the organism in Eukaryota, Metazoa, Chordata, Actinopteri, Semionotiformes, Lepisosteidae. The record is from RefSeq and is a predicted model, not a curated record.
GGGGCAGCUGCGGGGGCUGCAGCCAGGCCACUGAAACAGGGUUACGGCGUCCAGCCAGGCUAUGGAGCAGGAGCGGCACUCGGGCUACCUCAGGCCAGGAAACAGAAAGCAGGUUAUGGCGGCAAUGGAUAUGCUUAUGGGGCUCAGCCACUCGGAGGAUACGGACCUGGGGCAGGAGCCUAUCUGGGGGCGGGGCUUGGGGCAGGGUUUGGGAAUGGAGCAGCUGGGUUCGCUGGGCUGGG